This 1094-nucleotide long non-coding RNA is filed under the name Salmo salar (Atlantic salmon). RNAcentral describes it as "lncRNA (ENSSSAG00000121088.1)". The record is from RNAcentral. Lineage: Eukaryota; Metazoa; Chordata; Actinopteri; Salmoniformes; Salmonidae.
GUGGGAUGUGUGCUAGAGGAGUGCGAGAGGAGGGGUGUGUGUAAAUGGAAUGUGUCAGGGCUCUAAUUUGGUAUGGAGCUAUUUCACACUGGGCUGCAGCAUGCUGCAGACUGGUGAAUAACUACUGUGGUGGUGAGAUCAUACACUCUGACUGGAACAACUGAUCUAGGAUAAGUGAGCCCGGUGCAGACUGAUGUCUGCUCCAGCACUGUGAAAAGGACAACUGAACCUUUUCAGUCAGGAUCUACGCUCUCUACUCACAUCAUCACAUAGGUAAAGGAAUGGAAUGGACAGCAGACGGCAGAGAGUCCCUUGAGCUGAUGAGAGUGACACCAGCGCUUCCCCAGGGCUCCAGGGAUGCUGUCCCAGCACAUAGUAAAGAUGCCACAUUCCACACAGGAGAAUCAAUCUGAAGGUGGAAACUAAGGAGUUAGGCUGGCUGAAGUAAUGUAAUGCAUCCCAUAUGUAGGCAUUCCUGCACUGUUCUGCCUGCUCUGACUCUGGUCCCUGUCUCCCUGACUUCUCGUCAGUCCUGCUACUCUGCCCUGGAUUCCCCACUCUAUGCUCCCUUCAAUUCCCCUCCGGACCUGCUUACCCUGUCCCAACACCUCUCGCUCCAGCCUCAGCCUCCGCACCUGGUUUCCGGCAACCCGCCCGAGCUUCCCCUGGCCCGCACUCAAUCUUCCCCCCGUGCUUCAAUAAAUACCUUGGUUACCUCAUCCCAGUCUCCUCGUGUGAGUCUGCUCUUGGGUUCAGCUGUUCCGCUCCGUGUGACACUCCUAUAAGUGCAGAGGAGGCGGAGAGGGCCCUGUCUGAGCAUGUGUAUAUUAAGAUGUAUAUUAUGGGCAUGAUUAAAAUCGGUUUAUUUCUCAGAACAUUGUUUUACCGUCAUUCAUGCAGGGCUACAACUGCUUAUGUACACUUUGCAGAAAGCUAGUAAGGUAGGGAGGGCAGCAGAAAUGGACUGGCCAUUGGGCCGUUCGGGAAAAGGUCAGAUGGGCUGGUCCAUAUGUAGCUCAGUGGGCCUGUCUAAAUUGUUGUUUUGUGUGUGUAUCAGACCUGGGAUAACUACAGAUUUUAAUAUGCUUCGUGAG